AGCAGCCGCGGUAAUUCCAGCUCCAAUAGCGUAUAUUAAAGUUGUUGCAGUUAAAAAGCUCGUAGUUGAAUUUCGGGAUCAAUAUAUCGGUCGUGCCUUGGUACGUACUGGUAUCAUUGGUUUCUCCUUUCUGACGAACCAUGAUGUCAUUAAUUUGGUGUUAUGGGAAGUUAGGACUGUUACUUUGAAAAAAUUAGAGUGUUUAAAGCAGGCUUUAGCUUGAAUACAUUAGCAUGGAAUAAUGAAAUAGGACGUUUGAUUCUAUUUUGUUGGUUUCUAGGAUUUGACGUAAUGAUUAAUAGGGAUAGUUGGGGGCAUUAGUAUUCAAUUGUCAGAGGUGAAAUUCUUGGAUUUAUUGAAGACUAACUACUGCGAAAGCAUUUGCCAAGGAUGUUUUCAUUAAUCAAGAACGAAAGUUAGGGAUCGAAGACGAUCAGAUACCGUCGUAGUCUUAACCAUAAACUAUGCCGACUAGGGAUCGGAUGAUGUUAAUUUUUAAUGACUCAUUCGGNGCCUUACGGGAAACUAA
RNAcentral lists this ribosomal RNA (529 nucleotides) under uncultured Glomus. RNAcentral describes it as "SSU rRNA". It matches the Rfam family "Eukaryotic small subunit ribosomal RNA", at positions 569 to 1101 of the family's 1831-position model. Lineage: Eukaryota; Fungi; Glomeromycota; Glomeromycetes; Glomerales; Glomeraceae. The record is from RNAcentral.